GUUGAUUGUCUUGUUUGUUUUAUGGGUGUUAUUUGUUAAUUUGUUGAAGAAUCAUUUUAGUUGUUGUAUGUUUUUGAUUGAAUUUUUAUACGAUAGUUUAUUUGUACUGUGAGGGGUUAAAUUUGUUUAAUGUUUUUUUGGAAGUAGAUUUUGUUUGUCGUACCUUGUGUAUCAGGGUUCAUUGAAUUUUAUUAUUUAUUUUUAUUUCCCGAUUUAGAAGGAGUUAAUGAUUUGUAUUAUUUGCUGUUUUACUAGCAUUAAUAACAUAUUGUUGGUAGUGAAAUGUUAUUCGUCUUUUAUGGUUUCUGGUUUUCCAAGAAAUGAAUUUAAUUCAUGUAUUUUAUUUAAUUUUUGUUGUUGAUUCAUAUUUAUUUUUAUUUUGUGCUAAGAUUAGGGGGGAUUAGCUCUCUAUUUUAUUAUUAUAAUUUAUUUUGUUUAUUUAGUUUUGUGGAUUUUAUAUUGAUUUUCAAUUUGAUUAUGUUAAAAUUUUAUUUGUUCUUUUUUUUAUUUAUAUUUAUUUAAUUUAUUUAUUGGGAUGUUUGCUAGUUCUUGUUUUGUAUAGUGAUUAUUGUGUAAUUAGUAAAUCUUUUUUUUUGUGUUGUUAAGUUUAUUUUUGAUGUUAAUUUCUUUUUAGGAAUUCGGCAAAGUUUUAUGCCCGCCUGUUUAACAAAAACAUCUUUUCUUGGUAGUUUUUGAAGUAUGGCCUGCCCACUGACUUAUUUGUUGAAGGGCCGCGGUAUUUUGACCGUGCAAAGGUAGCAUAAUCAUUAGUUCUUUAAUUGUGAUCUGGUAUGAAUGGCUUGACGAGGUGUAAGCUGUCUUAAUGGUAUUGUCGUUGAAUUUAGUUUUUGAGUAAAAAUUCUUAGAUGUUUUUAUGGGACGAGAAGACCCUAUAGAGUUUUACAUUUAGUUCUUAUAUUUAUUUUUUGUUUGUUUUUAUUUUAUGGUAGGUUAAAUGUUUUGUUGGGGUGAUGGGAAGAAUUUUUUUAACUCUUCUUUGUUUUUAUAUACUUAUUUGUAUUUUUUUGAUCCAUUUAUUUUGAUUAUAAGAUUAAAUUACCUUAGGGAUAACAGCGUUAUCUUCCUUGAGAGUUCUUAUUGGCAGGGAGGUUUGCGACCUCGAUGUUGGAUUAAGGUGAAUUUUAGGUGCAGAAGCUUAAACGGAUUAGGUCUGUUCGACCUUUAAAACCUUACAUGAUCUGAGUUCAGACCGGCGUGAGCCAGGUUGGUUUCUAUCUAUAAGUUUUUAUUAUGCCUUAGUACGAGAGGACCGGGUAUUUGAAAUAAUUUUAUUGUUAUUUGAUUUUUAUUAAUAUGUUUACUAUUUUGGCAGAUAAGUGCAUUGGAUUUAGAAUCUAUGAAUG
Molecule: ribosomal RNA, 1364 nt
Filed under: Pericapritermes sp. A TB-2017
Lineage: Eukaryota; Metazoa; Arthropoda; Insecta; Blattodea; Termitidae
Description: 16S ribosomal RNA
Rfam family: Bacterial large subunit ribosomal RNA (bases 1067-1227)
Source: RNAcentral